RNAcentral lists this ribosomal RNA (460 nucleotides) under uncultured bacterium. RNAcentral's name for it is "partial 16S ribosomal RNA". It matches the Rfam family "Bacterial small subunit ribosomal RNA", at positions 338 to 795 of the family's 1533-position model. The record is from RNAcentral.
CCUACGGGUGGCAGCAGUGAGGAAUAUUGGUCAAUGGGCGCGAGCCUGAACCAGCCAAGUCGCGUGAAGGAUGACUGCCCUACGGGUUGUAAACUUCUUUUAUAAAGGAAUAAAGUGAGGCACGUGUGCAUUUAUGUAUGUACUUUAUGAAUAAGGAUCGGCUAACUCCGUGCCAGCAGCCGCGGUUAUACGGAGGAUCCGAGCGUUAAGCGGAUUUAUUGGGUUUAAAGGGAGCGGAAAUGGGAAGUUAAGUCAGUUGUGAAAGAUUGGGGCUCAACCGUAAAAUUGCAUUUGAUACUGGCAGCCUUGAGUACGGGAGAGGUAGGCGGAAUUCGUGGUGUAGCGGUGAAAUGCGUAGAUAUCACGAAGAACUCCGAUUGCGAAGGCAGCUUACUAGACUGCCACUGACGUUGAUGCUCGAAAGUGUGGGUAGCAAACAGGAUUAGAUACCCGGGUAGUC